Molecule: ribosomal RNA, 590 nt
Filed under: uncultured bacterium
Lineage: Bacteria
Description: partial 16S ribosomal RNA
Rfam family: Bacterial small subunit ribosomal RNA
Source: RNAcentral
UGGGGAAUUUUGGACAAUGGGCGAAAGCCUGAUCCAGCAAUGCCGCGUGUGUGAAGAAGGCCUUCGGGUUGUAAAGCACUUUUGUCCGGAAAGAAAUCCUUGGCUCUAAUACAGUCGGGGGAUGACGGUACCGGAAGAAUAAGCACCGGCUAACUACGUGCCAGCAGCCGCGGUAAUACGUAGGGUGCAAGCGUUAAUCGGAAUUACUGGGCGUAAAGCGUGCGCAGGCGGUUUGCUAAGACCGAUGUGAAAUCCCCGGGCUCAACCUGGGAACUGCAUUGGUGACUGGCAGGCUAGAGUAUGGCAGAGGGGGGUAGAAUUCCACGUGUAGCAGUGAAAUGCGUAGAGAUGUGGAGGAAUACCGAUGGCGAAGGCAGCCCCCUGGGCCAAUACUGACGCUCAUGCACGAAAGCGUGGGGGAGCAAAACAGGAUUAGAUACCCUGGUAGUCCACGCCCUAAAACGAUGUCAACUAGUUGUUGGGGGAUUCAUUUCCUUAGUAACGUAGCUAACGCGUGAAGUUGACCGCCUGGGGGAGUACGGUCGCAAGAUUAAAACUCAAAUGAAUUGACGGGGUCAUAGCUGUUUCCU